ACGGAAGGCAGCAGUGGGGAAUAUUGGGCAAUGGAGGCAACUCUGACCCAGCAACGCCGCGUGAAUGAUGAAGGUCUUCGGAUUGUAAAGUUCUGUGACGGGGGACGAACACAAUGACGGUACCCCGAUAGCAAGCCACGGCUAACUACGUGCCAGCAGCCGCGGUAAUACGUAGGUGGCAAGCGUUAUCCGGAAUGACUGGGCGUAAAGGGUGCGUAGGUGGUUUGGCAAGUUGGCGGCGUAAUUCCGGGGCUCAACUCCGGCGCUACCGCCAAAACUGUCGGACUCGAGUGCAGGAGGGGUAAGUGGAAUUCCUAGUGUAGCGGUGGAAUGCGUAGAUAUUAGGAAGAACAUCGGUGGCGAAGGCGACUUACUGGACUGUAACUGACACUGAGGCACGAAAGCGUGGGGAGCAAACAGGAUUAGAUACCCUGGUA
RNAcentral lists this ribosomal RNA (437 nucleotides) under uncultured bacterium. RNAcentral's name for it is "bacterial SSU rRNA". It matches the Rfam family "Bacterial small subunit ribosomal RNA", at positions 341 to 792 of the family's 1533-position model. The record is from RNAcentral.